RNAcentral lists this ribosomal RNA (501 nucleotides) under uncultured bacterium. RNAcentral's name for it is "partial 16S ribosomal RNA". It matches the Rfam family "Bacterial small subunit ribosomal RNA", at positions 30 to 523 of the family's 1533-position model. The record is from RNAcentral.
AUUGAACGCUGGCGGCAUGCCUUACACAUGCAAGUCGAACGGCAGCACGGGUGCUUGCACCUGGUGGCGAGUGGCGAACGGGUGAGUAAUACAUCGGAACGUACCUUAUCGUGGGGGAUAACGCAGCGAAAGCUGUGCUAAUACCGCAUACGCCCUGAGGGGGAAAGCGGGGGAUCGCAAGACCUCGCGCGAUUAGAGCGGCCGAUGCCUGAUUAGCUUGUUGGUGGGGUAAAAGCCCACCAAGGCGACGAUCAGUAGCUGGUCUGAGAGGACGAUCAGCCACACUGGGACGGAGAUACAGCCCAGACUCCUACAGGAGUCAGCAAGUGAUAAUUUUGGACAAUUGCGGCCACCCUGCUCCAGCAAUGCCGCGUGAGUGAAGAAGGCCUUCGGGUUGUAAAGCUCUUUUGUCAGGGAAGAAACACCGGCUCUAACACAGUCCGGGAAUGACGGUACCUGAAGAAUAAGCACCGGCUAAGUACGUGCCAGCCGCCGCCGUAA